Molecule: ribosomal RNA, 381 nt
Filed under: Amblyomma parkeri
Lineage: Eukaryota; Metazoa; Arthropoda; Arachnida; Ixodida; Ixodidae
Description: partial small subunit ribosomal RNA
Source: RNAcentral
UUAAACUAGGAUUAGAUACCCUAUUAUUGAGAAUAAAGUAUUGUUAGUAAAUAACAAGUACGAAAGCAAAAAAUUAUGGCGGUGCUUUAAGCUUUUCAGAGGAAUUUGCUCUUUAAUGGAUAAAACGCCUAAACCUUACUAAAACUAGUUUUUACAUCAGUUUGUAUACCGCUAUGAAAGUAAUAAUUUAUAAAUAUUACUUUAAUUUUUUGCUUGAAAGUAAAUUAAGUCAAGGUGCAACAUAAGUUUUAGAAUGAAGUGAAUUACAUUACUUAAUAGAGAAAUAAAUUAAACUAAAUUUAGGAUUUGAAAGUAAAAAUUCAAUAGAAUGGUUUUUUGAAUUAAGUUCUGAAGUAUGUACAUAUCGCCCGUCACUCUUUA